UUUCUUUCUUUCUUUCUUUCUUUCUUUCUUUCUUUCUUUCUUUCUUUCUUUCUUUCUUUCUUUCUUUCUUUCUUUCUUUCUUUCUUUCUUUCUUUCUUUUAGGAGAAGAGGCGAGCACAGGAGGAAGAGGACAGAGCAAGGAGAGAGAUAGAGGAAGAGUGGCUGAAGCUUGCACAGCGCAAGAGGAAGUCUCUAAGAGACCAGUGGCUGAUGGAGCCAACGCCCAGCAGUACUGAGGCUUCUGGGACCCAAACUGCACCCUGGACCCCCACUCAGACAGCAGAGGAGAGCGCAGAAGAAACACAAAGCACACGAAAGGAGAUGAAGGAAGAAGAUGAGAAAACGGCAAACAUGAAUGAUGAACAGCCGGCACGAUUUAUGGAGACUGUACCCUCUGGCCUUUCAAAGAAGAACAAAGGGGAUCCUACACAAGUAGGUGGAAGACCGCUGUGUUAACGCACCAGCUAAUUAUUUACAUUCUAUGAAGAAAGAAAUCAUUCUUGAAAUCUAGGACUACUGAUAUCACAGCACUGCUCCUCUUCAUGCCACAUCUAGUAGUUCACUAGCACCCUCUCAGUACACAAAGGGAUCUGUGACUUGCUCAGUCAGUUCACCGCUGUGUCCAGUUCCUCCAGGAAUCUGCAGUCACAAAUUCGAAUGUAUUGAGCCCAACCUCUCAGUUUUCACAAGGGCUCUCAAUUUUGU
Pygocentrus nattereri (red-bellied piranha) is the source of this 705-nucleotide long non-coding RNA. Lineage: Eukaryota; Metazoa; Chordata; Actinopteri; Characiformes; Serrasalmidae. The record is from Ensembl.